ACUCCUACGGGAGGCAGCAGUGGGGAAUAUUGGACAAUGGGGGGAACCCUGAUCCAGCCAUGCCGCGUGUGUGAAGAAGGCCUUAUGGUUGUAAAGCACUUUAAGCGAGGAGGAGGCUACUGAGACUAAUACUCUUGGAUAGUGGACGUUACUCGCAGAAUAAGCACCGGCUAACUCUGUGCCAGCAGCCGCGGUAAUACAGAGGGUGCGAGCGUUAAUCGGAUUUACUGGGCGUAAAGCGUGCGUAGGCGGCUUUUAAGUCGGAUGUGAAAUCCCCGAGCUUAACUUGGGAAUUGCAUUCGAUACUGGGGAAGCUAGAGUAUGGGAGAGGAUGGUAGAAUUCCAGGUGUAGCGGUGAAAUGCGUAGAGAUCUGGAGGAAUACCGAUGGCGAAGGCAGCCAUCUGGCCUAAUACUGACGCUGAGGUACGAAAGCAU
RNAcentral lists this ribosomal RNA (436 nucleotides) under uncultured bacterium. Its description in RNAcentral is "bacterial SSU rRNA". It matches the Rfam family "Bacterial small subunit ribosomal RNA", at positions 335 to 762 of the family's 1533-position model. The record is from RNAcentral.